AGUCGAGGGGCAGCAUAAUGGAUAGCAAUAUCUAUGGUGGCGACCGGCGCACGGGUGCGUAACGCGUAUGCAACCUACCUUUAACAGGGGGAUAACACUGAGAAAUUGGUACUAAUACCCCAUAAUAUCAUAGAAGGCAUCUUUUAUGGUUGAAAAUUCCGAUGGUUAGAGAUGGGCAUGCGUUGUAUUAGCUAGUUGGUGGGGUAACGGCUCACCAAGGCGACGAUACAUAGGGGGACUGAGAGGUUAACCCCCCACACUGGUACUGAGACACGGACCAGACUCCUACGGGAGGCAGCAGUGAGGAAUAUUGGUCAAUGGACGCAAGUCUGAACCAGCCAUGCCGCGUGCAGGAUGACGGCUCUAUGAGUUGUAAACUGCUUUUGUACGAGGGUAAACGCAGAUACGUGUAUCUGUCUGAAAGUAUCGUACGAAUAAGGAUCGGCUAACUCCGUGCCAGCAGCCGCGGUAAUACGGAGGAUUCAAGCGUUAUCCGGAUUUAUUGGGUUUAAAGGGUGCGUAGGCGGUUUGAUAAGUUAGAGGUGAAAUUUCGGGGCUCAACCCUGAACGUGCCCCUAAUACUGUUGAGCUAGAGAGUAGUUGCGGUAGGCGGAAUGUAUGGUGUAGCGGUGAAAUGCUUAGAGAUCAUACAGAACACCGAUUGCGAAGGCAGCUUACCAAACUAUAUCUGACGUUGAGGCACGAAAGCGUGGGGAGCAAACAGGAUUAGAUACCCUGGUAGUCCACGCAGUAAACGAUGAUAACUCGUUGUCGGCGAUACACAGUCGGUGACUAAGCGAAAGCGAUAAGUUAUCCACCUGGGG
RNAcentral lists this ribosomal RNA (824 nucleotides) under uncultured bacterium. Its description in RNAcentral is "bacterial SSU rRNA". It matches the Rfam family "Bacterial small subunit ribosomal RNA", at positions 60 to 878 of the family's 1533-position model. The record is from RNAcentral.